UUGAAGUGAUGAUGAUCUUAGGACACCUCUGAUUACUAUGAUUAUCAAAAGUUAUCACCUCUGAUCAAA
Rhopilema esculentum is the source of this 69-nucleotide small nucleolar RNA. RefSeq annotates it as small nucleolar RNA SNORD58. NCBI's taxonomy places the organism in Eukaryota, Metazoa, Cnidaria, Scyphozoa, Rhizostomeae, Rhizostomatidae. The record is from RefSeq and is a predicted model, not a curated record.